RNAcentral lists this ribosomal RNA (353 nucleotides) under uncultured bacterium. RNAcentral describes it as "bacterial SSU rRNA". It matches the Rfam family "Bacterial small subunit ribosomal RNA", at positions 917 to 1271 of the family's 1533-position model. The record is from RNAcentral.
GGGCCCGCACAAGCGGUGGAGUAUGUGGUUUAAUUCGAUGCAACGCGAAGAACCUUACCAGGGUUUGACAUCCUGCGAAUCUCUUGGAAACGAGAGAGUGCCUUCGGGAACGCAGUGACAGGUGGUGCAUGGCUGUCGUCAGCUCGUGUCGUGAGAUGUUGGGUUAAGUCCCGCAACGAGCGCAACCCACGUCGUUAGUUGCCAGCAUUUAGUUGGGCACUCUAGCGAGACCGCCGGUGAUAAACCGGAGGAAGGUGUGGAUGACGUCAAGUCAUCAUGCCCCUUACAUCCUGGGCUACACACGUGCUACAAUGGUAGGUACAGAGGGAAGCCACCCCGCGAGGGGGAGCGGA